RNAcentral lists this unclassified non-coding RNA (585 nucleotides) under Hevea brasiliensis (rubber tree). Lineage: Eukaryota; Viridiplantae; Streptophyta; Magnoliopsida; Malpighiales; Euphorbiaceae. The record is from RNAcentral.
GCCGCCGCCGCCGCUCGACCUAAUCCUCACAUCGCAGGAUUGAGUUUCUUCUUGCAAAUCAGCCAGGAUGGUGAGGGUCAGUGUCCUGAAUGAUGCCCUAAAGAGCAUGUAUAAUGCCGAGAAACGUGGAAAACGACAAGUUAUGAUCAGGCCGUCUUCCAAGGUGAUCAUCAAGUUUCUUAUCGUCAUGCAGAAGCAUGGAUACAUUGGCGAGUUUGAAUAUGUUGAUGAUCAUAGGUCUGGUAAAAUAGUUGUUGAAUUGAAUGGGAGGCUGAACAAGUGUGGGGUCAUCAGUCCUCGCUUUGAUGUUGGUGUCAAAGAGAUUGAACCCUGGACUGCCAGGUUGCUCCCAUCGCGACAGUUUGGUUAUAUUGUGCUGACGACAUCCGCGGGCAUCAUGGACCAUGAGGAAGCUAGGAGGAAGAAUGUUGGCGGUAAAGUACUUGGUUUUUUCUACUAGUUGAUUUCUUUUCUUCGUUCUGGUCGGAAUGUUAGAGGUUAAGUACCUGGUGUUUUCUUAGAAGAGUGUUUUGAAGAUGUGUUUUGUUAUGUUAUUCCUUUGAGAAACUUCUGAAAAAUUGUGAC